RNAcentral lists this ribosomal RNA (305 nucleotides) under Pseudomonas aeruginosa. Its description in RNAcentral is "bacterial SSU rRNA". It matches the Rfam family "Bacterial small subunit ribosomal RNA", at positions 125 to 448 of the family's 1533-position model. Lineage: Bacteria; Pseudomonadati; Pseudomonadota; Gammaproteobacteria; Pseudomonadales; Pseudomonadaceae. The record is from RNAcentral.
UCUGCCUGGUAGUGGGGGAUAACGUCCGGAAACGGGCGCUAAUACCGCAUACGUCCUGAGGGAGAAAGUUUCGACGCUAUCAGAUGAGCCUAGGUCGGAUUAGCUAGUUGGUGGGGUAAAGGCCUACCAAGGCGACGAUCCGUAACUGGUCUGAGAGGAUGAUCAGUCACACUGGAACUGAGACACGGUCCAGACUCCUACGGGAGGCAGCAGUGGGGAAUAUUGGACAAUGGGCGAAAGCCUGAUCCAGCCUGCCGCGUGUGUGAAGAAGGUCUUCGAUUGUAAAGCACUUUAAGUUGGGAGGA